UGUGUUGUAGUUCAGUUGGUAGAGUGUUUGACUAGCAUGCACAAAGCCCUGGGUGCAAUCCCCAGUAUCAUAG
RNAcentral lists this transfer RNA (73 nucleotides) under Neotoma lepida (desert woodrat). It matches the Rfam family "tRNA". From Rfam's summary of the family: Transfer RNA (tRNA) molecules are approximately 80 nucleotides in length. Their secondary structure includes four short double-helical elements and three loops (D, anti-codon, and T loops). Lineage: Eukaryota; Metazoa; Chordata; Mammalia; Rodentia; Cricetidae. The record is from Rfam by way of RNAcentral.